UUGUGUGUUGUGUUUACCCAAUAAUACACACUUAAUUUAAUUUUUUUUGAUCGAAUUUGUCUAGAUCUAGACGCAAGCUUUUACGUUCAAUUUAUCUUCAUAUUUGCUAUUGAAAAAAGGGUCGUUAGUAUCUUGUUUGAAUUUAUAUUUCACCAUCAUAAAAGAUGUCGCGAUUUAUCGCGGUCGCUAGUUCAGCCGUUAACAAACGCAACGCGUUUGUUUCUACUGGGCUUUUGUACAUUUUCUGUGCCCUAAAUUGUACAAGUAUUCAUAAUUUGUUGUAAUAACAAGCUGCUAAAGUCUGAAUCAUCAACGAAAAUAACGUGAUCAGCCAUCUUGUUGAAUCAUUAAAUAAAACACGGCCUCGUUUUGAGAAAUAUCACUGUCAGUCACUUACGUGAUACGAAACUCGUUCUCUCAUUGGCGACAGCGCGCCAUCAAGCGACAGCGCGCCGGCGAAAUAAAAUUUGGUUAAUUGCCGACGGUAUGGAAACGACGAACUACAACGAAUUUUUAUAAAAGGAUACGUACGCACGUAUGUUCAUGUCACGAACGACGAACGUCAUCAACUGCAGUUUUGUCGCAUCUUGGGUGGUCACAGUGGUGUGGUGGUGCCAAAGAAAAAUGCGCUUGCCAUGCCUGAGAUCCCAUAAAGCACACAUAGAAGGAUAUAAGGAAAAUAGGACGAAGCGAACUGUGUAUUGUGAACUAUUCAAGGAAAUAUUUUCCAAUAUAUCGUGAUUUGUGGCCAACCAAUACAUAAUCAGAUUGAAUGAAAAUAUGAAAAUGAAAGUAAAUUAAAUGUAUUUUUGAUCGAA
Long non-coding RNA from Dendroctonus ponderosae (mountain pine beetle), 818 nucleotides. RefSeq lists it as uncharacterized. The record is from RefSeq and is a predicted model, not a curated record. The transcript is spliced from 2 exons. NCBI's taxonomy places the organism in Eukaryota, Metazoa, Arthropoda, Insecta, Coleoptera, Curculionidae.